CUGCCCUUACAUUAUACGAACGAAAGACACUUAACUUACUUUUAGGCAUAACUCGUGAAUGUAGGCAUAGAAAGCAUAUGCAUAGCACCUAUAAGACCUGAGCAAGAAGGGAAGCGUCAAAGAGCUGGAAUGUGUUAACUGAUGGAACUAGACAAGCAACCGUUUACUUGUUAUGGGUCGAAUACUCUUAGUUUGUCUCAUAAAAGUCAGAUUAUAGAAAUAGACUUCCUUCCAUAGAAUUGAGAAUGAAAGGGUCUGGUUAGGUCUCUCAGUCGCCCCUGGUGUAAAG
RNAcentral lists this long non-coding RNA (289 nucleotides) under Musa acuminata (dwarf banana). RNAcentral describes it as "long non-coding RNA (MACU_LNC007493)". The record is from RNAcentral. Lineage: Eukaryota; Viridiplantae; Streptophyta; Magnoliopsida; Zingiberales; Musaceae.